UACGAAGGGGACUAGCGUUGUUCGGAUUUACUGGGCGUAAAGCGUGCGCAGGCGGCUAUCCAAGUCAGUGGUGAAAGCCCGGAGCUCAACUCCGGAAUUGCCAUUGAAACUGUUUAGCUUGAGGACGAGAGAGGUGAGUGGAAUUCCCAGUGUAGAGGUGAAAUUCGUAGAUAUUGGGAAGAACACCGGUGGCGAAGGCGGCUCACUGGCUCGUUUCUGACGCUCAGGCACGACAGCGUGGGGAUCAAACAGG
RNAcentral lists this ribosomal RNA (253 nucleotides) under uncultured bacterium. RNAcentral describes it as "partial 16S ribosomal RNA". It matches the Rfam family "Bacterial small subunit ribosomal RNA", at positions 524 to 776 of the family's 1533-position model. The record is from RNAcentral.